UAAAGAAAUCCGCGCUGGUGUACCCCAGGGCGACAGCGGAGGGCCCUUGGUAACAGCGGGGGUAUCCGGACUGGAGCAAGUGGGCGUGGUCUCCUGGGGAACGGGCUGCGCAAGGCCUGGGAAACCGGGUGUCUACACAAGGGUGACAGAAUAUCUCGCCUGGAUCGCUGCUAUUGUGGGAAGCGAGGACCAGUGUACCUGAAGCUGAAGAAAUACCCGUUUGGAUUUGAUUGUUAUUGUUAAAAUAUACAACAGAGAAAUUCAG
Non-coding RNA from Penaeus vannamei (Pacific white shrimp), 265 nucleotides. Lineage: Eukaryota; Metazoa; Arthropoda; Malacostraca; Decapoda; Penaeidae. The record is from RefSeq and is a predicted model, not a curated record.